Molecule: transfer RNA, 67 nt
Filed under: Taxoblenus sp.
Lineage: Eukaryota; Metazoa; Arthropoda; Insecta; Hymenoptera; Tenthredinidae
Description: tRNA-His
Source: RNAcentral
AUUUAAGUAGUUUAAAUUAAAACAUUGAUUUGUGGGGUCAAUAAUAUAAAUUAUAUUAUCUUAAAUA